GGGGGAUAUUGCGCAAUGGGGGCAACCCUGACGCAGCAACGCCGCGUGAAGGAUGGAGGUUUUCGGAUUGUAAACUUCUUUUAUUAAGGACGAAAAAUGACGGUACUUAAUGAAUAAGCUCCGGCUAACUACGUGCCAGCAGCCGCGGUAAUACGUAGGGAGCAAGCGUUGUCCGGAUUUACUGGGUGUAAAGGGUGCGUAGGCGGCUUUGCAAGUCAGAUGUGAAAUCUAUGGGCUCAACCCAUAAACUGCAUUUGAAACUGUAGAGCUUGAGUGAAGUAGAGGCAGGCGGAAUUCCCCGUGUAGCGGUGAAAUGCGUAGAGAUGGGGAGGAACACCAGUGGCGAAGGCGGCCUGCUGGGCUUUAACUGACGCUGAGGCACGAAAGCGUGGGUAGCAAACAGGAUUAGAUACCCUGGUAGUCCACGCUGUAAACGAUGAUUACUAGGUGUGGGGGGUCUGACCCCUUCCGUGCCGGAGUUAACACAAUAAGUAAUCCACCUGGGGAGUACGGCCGCAAGGUUGAAACUCAAAGGAAUUGACGGGGGCCCGCACAAGCAGUGGAGUAUGUGGUUUAAUUCGAAGCAACGCGAAGAACCUUACCAGGUCUUGACAUCCAACUAACGAAGUAGAGAUACAUUAGGUGCCCUUCGGGGAAAGUUGAGACAGGUGGUGCAUGGUUGUCGUCAGCUCGUGUCGUGAGAUGUUGGGUUAAGUCCCGCAACGAGCGCAACCCUUGCUAUUAGUUGCUACGCAAGAGCACUCUAAUAGGACUGCCGUUGACAAAACGGAGGAAGGUGGGGACGACGUCAAAUCAUCAUGCCCCUUAUGACCUGGGCUACACACGUACUACAAUGGAUGUUAACAGAGGGAAGCAAGACAGCGAUGUGGAGCAAACCCCUAAAAACAUUCUCAGUUCAGAUUGCAGGCUGCAACCCGCCUGCAUGAAGAUGGAAUUGCUAGUAAUCGCGGAUCAGCAUGCCGCGGUGAAUACGUUCCCG
Molecule: ribosomal RNA, 1000 nt
Filed under: uncultured organism
Description: bacterial SSU rRNA
Rfam family: Bacterial small subunit ribosomal RNA
Source: RNAcentral